AAGGGAAACAACCACUUCUGGGAUGUCCGCUGCAAUCUGCUCCGGGGCUGCAGCAACCUCAUCAGCUCUUGCCUGGAGUGGCUCAGCCUGGGCCUGCAGGGCCACCAGGAGAAUGGCAGCAAGGAUGGCGAGGGUCCUCAUGGCAGGGUGACCAGAGAGGGCAGACAGCAGUCCUCUGUCCCAGGUCUUCUAUAGCAAGGAGCAGCCGUGCACAAGUGGACUUCCCCUAUUUAAAGGUCUUUUGGGAUGAGGUGUCCUAAUUUCCGGGGUUACUUUCUGUUGGGUCCAUUAAAUAAUUGUGGUGGCAAGGACAGUUGAGAAAUUUGGUGGGAAGGUGAGGUUAAA
RNAcentral lists this long non-coding RNA (345 nucleotides) under Homo sapiens (human). RNAcentral describes it as "HSALNT0132487". The record is from RNAcentral. Lineage: Eukaryota; Metazoa; Chordata; Mammalia; Primates; Hominidae.